Molecule: ribosomal RNA, 497 nt
Filed under: uncultured bacterium
Lineage: Bacteria
Description: partial 16S ribosomal RNA
Rfam family: Bacterial small subunit ribosomal RNA
Source: RNAcentral
GAUGAACGCUGGCGGCGUGCCUAAUACAUGCCAGUCGAGCGAACAGACGAGGAGCUUGCUCCUCUGACGUUAGCGGCGGACGGGUGAGUAACACGUGGAUAACCUACCUAUAAGACUGGGAUAACUUCGGGAAACCGGAGCUAAUACCGGAUAAUAUAUUGAACCGCAUGGUUCAAUAGUGAAAGACGGUUUUGCUGUCACUUAUAGAUGGAUCCGCGCCGCAUUAGCUAGUUGGUAAGGUAACGGCUUACCAAGGCAACGAUGCGUAGCCGACCUGAGAGGGUGAUCGGCCACACUGGAACUGAGACACGGUCCAGACCCCAACGGGAGGCAGCAGUAGGGAAUCUUCCGCAAUGGGCGAAAGCCUGACGGAGCAACGCCGCGUGAGUGAUGAAGGUCUUCGGAUCGUAAAACUCUGUUAUUAGGGAAGAACAAAUGUGUAAGUAACUAUGCACGUCUUGACGGUACCUAAUCAGAAAGCCACGGCUAACUACGUG